This is a non-coding RNA of Jatropha curcas, 417 nucleotides long. Lineage: Eukaryota; Viridiplantae; Streptophyta; Magnoliopsida; Malpighiales; Euphorbiaceae. The record is from RefSeq and is a predicted model, not a curated record.
UCCUUCUCCAGUUGCACGACCUCCUCCUCCUCCUCCCUCUCCUUCGAUCUCCUUCCUCCGGUCACCAAAUCCGGCAAAUGAAUACUCUAAAAACAUCAACUCAACGCAAGGAAGAAGAAUAUGGCUUUGACUUGAACUGAAACUGCAUCUAUUUUGAAAGGAAAGAGCUUGAAGUUUUGGCACCAUAGCGACACCUUUUUUCCGGCGAUUCACGCCGUUUCAGGCAAGUCUAGAGCGCAAGAUUUGACAUUUCCGGCCACCGUGCACGGCGGCGGCGACGGCGGUCCGGCGACCGGCCGGCGAGACUUCAAGAGAUAGAAUGUUCUCCUCUUCGCGCGGAUGACGGACAUAACAUCUGAUUUUCAAUCGAUGUUUAUAGAUUCCGAAGGUGGAGACAAAUGCGGGAAGCGGUGCAGU